UAGAGUUUGAUCAUGGCUCAGGAUGAACGCUAGCGACAGGCUUAACACAUGCAAGUCGAGGGGCAGCGGGGGCGGAAGCUUGCUUUCGCCCGCCGGCGACCGGCGCACGGGUGAGUAACACGUAUGCAACCUGGCCGCCACAGGGGGAUAACCCGCGGAAACGCGGCCUAAUACCCCGUGACGCCACCGGAGGGCAUCCUCCGGUGGCCAAAGGAGCGAUCCGGUGGCGGAUGGGCAUGCGGCGCAUUAGCUAGACGGCGGGGUGACGGCCCACCGUGGCGACGAUGCGUAGGGGUUCUGAGAGGAAGGCCCCCCACACUGGGACUGAGACACGGCCCAGACUCCUACGGGAGGCAGCAGUGAGGAAUAUUGGUCAAUGGGCGGAAGCCUGAACCAGCCAAGUCGCGUGAGGGAUUAAGGCCCUGCGGGUCGUAAACCUCUUUUGCCGGGGAGCAGUGGUCCGGACGCGUCCGGACCGGGAGAGUACCCGGAGAAAAAGCAUCGGCUAACUCCGUGCCAGCAGCCGCGGUAAUACGGAGGAUGCGAGCGUUAUCCGGAUUUAUUGGGUUUAAAGGGUGCGUAGGCGGGCAUUUAAGCCGGCGGUCAAAUGUCGGGGCUCAACCCCGGCCUGCCGUCGGAACUGGGUGCCUUGAGUGGGCGAGAAGUAUGCGGAAUGCGUGGUGUAGCGGUGAAAUGCAUAGAUAUCACGCAGAACCCCGAUUGCGAAGGCAGCAUACCGGCGCCCUACUGACGCUGAGGCACGAAAGUGCGGGUAUCGAACAGGAUUAGAUACCCUGGUAGUCCGCACAGUAAACGAUGGAUGCUAUCUGUCCGGGCCGAAUGAGGCCUGGGUGGCACAGCGAAAGCGUUAAGCAUCCCACCUGGGGAGUACGCCGGCAACGGUGAAACUCAAAGGAAUUGACGGGGGCCCGCACAAGCGGAGGAACAUGUGGUUUAAUUCGAUGAUACGCGAGGAACCUUACCCGGGCUCAAACGCCUGACGAACAUGGCCUGAAAGGGCCUUGGCCAGCAAUGGCGUCAGGCGAGGUGCUGCAUGGUUGUCGUCAGCUCGUGCCGUGAGGUGUCGGCUUAAGUGCCAUAACGAGCGCAACCCCCACCGGCAGUUGCUAACCGACGCAAGUCGGAGGACUCUGCCGGGACUGCCGGCGCAAGCUGCGAGGAAGGCGGGGAUGACGUCAAAUCAGCACGGCCCUUACGUCCGGGGCGACACACGUGUUACAAUGGCAGGUACAGCGGGAAGCCACCCGGCGACGGGGCGCGGAACCUGAAAACCUGUCUCAGUUCGGAUCGGAGUCUGCAACCCGACUCCGUGAAGCUGGAUUCGCUAGUAAUCGCGCAUCAGCCAUGGCGCGGUGAAUACGUUCCCGGGCCUUGUACACACCGCCCGUCAAGCCAUGGGAGCCGGGGGUGCCUGAAGGCCGUGACCGCGAGGAGCGGCCUAGGGUAAAACCGGUGACUGGGGCUAAGUCGUAACAAGGUAACCGUAA
This 1508-nucleotide ribosomal RNA is filed under the name uncultured bacterium. Its description in RNAcentral is "bacterial SSU rRNA". It matches the Rfam family "Bacterial small subunit ribosomal RNA". The record is from RNAcentral.